CUCGUAGUGCUGGCACGUCUUAUUAAAUCCGUCCGAGGAAAUGCUCAAUCUUCCUCAUAUCCAUGACACCUGUGCACUUGUCGGAUGGCUUACUGAAGACCGCAUGGUUGGAUCUAUCCAUCUACUUUACAUAACAAUUCUGUAACAAAUGUAGUCUUAUUAUAACAUAAUAAAACUUUCAACAACGGAUCUCUUGGCUCUCGCAUCGAUGAAGAACGCAGCGAAAUGCGAUAAGUAAUGUGAAUUGCAGAAAUUCAGUGAAUCAUCGAAUCUUUGAACGCACCUUGCGCUCCUUGGUAUUCCGAGGAGCAUGCCUGUUUGAGUGUCAUGAAACCCUCAACCCUAGAUUGGUUAAAACCUUUCUUUGGUUUGGAUUUGGACGUUUGCCGAUGAUAAGUCGGCUCGUCUUAAAAGUAAUAGCUGGAUCUGUCUCGCGACAUGGAUUGGACUUGGCGUAAUAAGUAAUUCCCUAACGCAUCUUCGGAUGGCCCCGUUGCAGGGCUUAAAAACCCUUUUCUAAACCAUUGGACCUUCGGAUUAAAACCCUUGGGAAAUUGGGCCCAAAAUAACGGGGGGGGAACACCCGUAAAAUUUACUUAUGGGUAAGCGGGGGGGGGGCAAAAAAAAAAA
Molecule: ribosomal RNA, 630 nt
Filed under: uncultured Cryptococcus
Lineage: Eukaryota; Fungi; Basidiomycota; Tremellomycetes
Description: partial contains internal transcribed spacer 1, 5.8S ribosomal RNA, and internal transcribed spacer 2
Rfam family: 5.8S ribosomal RNA (bases 174-328)
Source: RNAcentral